AGGACACACAGAGACCCUCCAAAUUACCAUUCUUUGUUUCUUAAAUGAUUAGCUGAACUAUUUGUUCCUCCAAACAAGCUAGAAACAGAGCUAGAUAUUCCAGCUGAUUGACAGAUGCCUCCUGAUGACAUGAACAUCCCAGCUGUAAAAUCACCCCCACUUGGAACUGGUUCACCCCUCCCUUUGAAAGUCUAGACAAAACCAGCUGCCAGGACAGAGGGGAAACCCAUCUGGAGCCCUGUCUUCUCCACCCAGGGAGUGAGACCCCUUGAACUCGUCAAGCUCCUUCUGUGACUGAUCGGAGAUCCCACUGUGAGUCCAGCUCCCGGUCCCGUGCUCCGGAUAUCGGUCCUUGGCAGCAUGCCAGGCAGCCAAAUGGACAGCUCUAUAAGACUCAAGCCGACAGCGGAGAGAGCGCAAUUGAACAGCCUUGGCGCAGCUUUCAGAGGAGAACGUUCUUCACCCCAACUGCUCUGCAUCUGCCUGGACAUCUGCCAAGAUCUGUGAGCACUACAGCGUUGCAGUCUUCUUUAUUCCACCAAUGACUUCGCUCGCGGUGCUUCCAGAAGCCAAGAAGUGGACUUUGCCCUUGGGGAUUUAGGAGGCAGAGUGGCGCCCCCUGGAGGCCACAUGGUGGAGGUGGCUAUGAGGCCUGGAGUCUACAAUUUAGAUUGAAUCACAGGAAGAAGCUAUUUACACAAGUCAAACAUGCUUCAAUGUUGGCAAUUUCAUAAGAUUCCAAUCCUUAAGGGAUCAAAGCCUGGCCACCUGCUUCCACCGAGAGGUGUACCUUUCCAUGCCAGGCUUGGAGCAUCCCUCUUUGUUUAAAAAGGAGAGGAUUCCGAAGCAGAACUUCUCAAGCUCUUCCACCCAAAUCCCCUCACCACAGGGACAGGAGUCCUGGGCAUGCAGCCUAAAGCAGCCAGGAGAAAAACUUUGACCUUAAUUUUUUAAAAUGAUUUCACAUGAAUCAAUGGAAUGUGUUUAUGAUAAAAUCAUCUCCUCCUGAAAUACAUGUGUAAAACUACUGCCCCAGUUAAAUGCACUUAGUCUAACCGAGCCCUAGGAUUGGCCUCUCCAGCGUGAGAAGCAUUGCCAGCACUCCAGCUCCCCAGGUCCCACUCUGGGAUCCCACCUCCUCAGAUCCUCCCACUUCCUCACACUCUCUGGCCUCUCGCUUUUGACCCUGCUCCCACCACGCAUCCUUUCCUCAGAGUCCAUCAGUCCUCUCUUGUUUUCACCUUGGUCUCUGCCAAGUGUGGGUCCAAGUCACACAUGUAGACUGUGAUCACAGGGCCUCCAAGCUCCAGAUCUCCCAAAACACCCUAUGGAGAGACCUUACCUUCCUGGAUAGGCCUUCUCCCCACAGCUAGACCUCACCCUCUGGGUAAACCCAUCUCCCCAACUAGAACUCACCCUCCGGAGUAGACCCCAUCCCCCCAGCUAGAUCUCAUCCUCCUGAACAGAUCCCAUCACCCCAGCUAGAUCUCAUCCUCUUGGGUAGACCCAUCUCCCCAACCAGAACUCACCCUGCUGGGUAGACCCUUCUCCCCAGCUAGACCUCAUCUUCUGGGUAGACCCCAUUCCCCCAGUUAGACCUCACCCCUCUGGGUAGAUCCCAUCCCCUCAG
This is a long non-coding RNA of Piliocolobus tephrosceles (Ugandan red Colobus), 1630 nucleotides long. RefSeq lists it as uncharacterized. The record is from RefSeq and is a predicted model, not a curated record. The transcript is spliced from 3 exons. Lineage: Eukaryota; Metazoa; Chordata; Mammalia; Primates; Cercopithecidae.